GAGUUUGAUCCUGGCUCAGGAUGAACGCUGGCGGCACGCUUAACACAUGCAAGUCGAACGGAGCAAAAUCACCGCAGCUUGCUGCACCGAUUUUGUUUGGUGGCGGACGGGUGAGUAACACGUGAGCAAUCUGCCUUUCAGAGGGGGAUACCGGUUGGAAACGACUGUUAAUACCGCAUGACAUUAUCUGAUCGCAUGGUUGGAUAAUCAAAGAUUUAUCGCUGAAAGAUGAGCUCGCGUCUGAUUAGCUGGUUGGUAAGGUAACGGCUUACCAAGGCGACGAUCAGUAGCCGGACUGAGAGGUUGAACGGCCACAUUGGGACUGAGACACGGCCCAGACUCCUACGGGAGGCAGCAGUGGGGAAUAUUGGGCAAUGGGCGCAAGCCUGACCCAGCGAUGCCGCGUGAGGGAAGAAGGUUUUCGGAUUGUAAACCUCUGUUGUCAGGGACGAAAGAGAUGACGGUACCUGACGAGGAAGCUCCGGCUAACUACGUGCCAGCAGCCGCGGUAAUACGUAGGGAGUAAGCGUUAUCCGGAAUUACUGGGUGUAAAGGGAGUGUAGGCGGGACAGUAAGUCAGAUGUGAAAAGUAGGGGCUCAACCCCUAACGUGCAUUUGAAACUGCAGUUCUUGAGUGAAGUAGAGGUAAGCGGAAUUCCUAGUGUAGCGGUGAAAUGCGUAGAUAUUUAGGAGGAACAUCAGUGGCGAAGGCGGCUUACUGGGCUUUAACUGACGCUGAGGCUCGAAAGCGUGAGGAGCAAACAAGAUUAGAUACCCUGGUAGUCCAGGCCGUAAACGAU
RNAcentral lists this ribosomal RNA (800 nucleotides) under uncultured bacterium. RNAcentral's name for it is "bacterial SSU rRNA". It matches the Rfam family "Bacterial small subunit ribosomal RNA", at positions 9 to 810 of the family's 1533-position model. The record is from RNAcentral.